AGAUCAACACCUAUGCAUCUUGAUGACAAAAAAGUUAAAAGUAAGCUCAUAGGUAACGUUAAAAUAGUUGAAGUUUGAGAAAGUUCGAAUCGAUGAGAAAUAAAAAUGAAAAAGAACUAAAGAGGGAAGAAAGCAGCCAUCUGCUUUUCCUAAACCCCACACCAAAAGAACAUCUGGCACCGACACACAGAGAUGAUACCGGUCCAGAUUAUAUCUUUUCUUACUUCCAAUUAACAUUGACUAUAGCAACUAAAGUAAAACAGAAAAUUUCUUUGAAACCAUUUUCUAGAGAAACAAAAAGAAUCCUAAACAUGAAUUUCCGAUUACUUUAGUGAACACUCACUUGUUGUUAAG
This 354-nucleotide unclassified non-coding RNA is filed under the name Hevea brasiliensis (rubber tree). The record is from RNAcentral. Lineage: Eukaryota; Viridiplantae; Streptophyta; Magnoliopsida; Malpighiales; Euphorbiaceae.